RNAcentral lists this ribosomal RNA (1500 nucleotides) under uncultured prokaryote. RNAcentral describes it as "partial 16S ribosomal RNA". It matches the Rfam family "Bacterial small subunit ribosomal RNA". The record is from RNAcentral.
AGAGUUUGAUCCUGGCUCAGAAUGAACGCUGGCGGCGUGCUUAACACAUGCAAGUCGAACGAUGAAGCCUAGCUUGCUAGGUGGAUUAGUGGCGCACGGGUGAGUAAUAUAUAGGUAACGUGCCUCUUAGUCUGGGAUAGCCAUUGGAAACGAUGAUUAAUACUGGAUACUCCUUCUCAUUAUAAUUUGAGUUGGGAAAGUUUUUCGCUAAGAGAUCGGCCUAUUUCCCAUCAGGUAGUUGGUAGUGUAAGAGACUACCAAGCCUAUGACGGGUAGCUGGUCUGAGAGGAUGAUCAGCCACACUGGGACUGAGACACGGCCCAGACUCCUACGGGAGGCAGCAGUGGGGAAUAUUGGACAAUGGGCGAAAGCCUGAUCCAGCAAUACCGCGUGUGUGAAGAAGGCCUGUGGGUUGUAAAGCACUUUCAAUUGGGAGGAAUACCUGCUGAGAUAAUAUCAGGCAGAUUGACAUUACCUUUAGAAGAAGCACCGGCUAACUCCGUGCCAGCAGCCGCGGUAAUACGGAGGGUGCAAGCGUUAAUCGGAAUUACUGGGCGUAAAGCGUACGUAGGCGGUUCGUUAAGUUGGAUGUGAAAGCCCCGGGCUUAACCUGGGAACUGCAUUUAAAACUGGCGAACUAGAGUUAAGUAGAGGGGAGUGGAAUUUCAGGUGUAGCGGUGAAAUGCGUAGAGAUCUGAAGGAACACCAGUGGCGAAGGCGACUCCCUGGAACAUUACUGACGCUAAGGUGUGAAAGUUUGGUUAGCAAACGGGAUUAGAUACCCCGGUAGUCCACGCCCUAAACGAUGAACACUAGUCGUCGGGAAGCUUGUCUUCUCGGUGAUGCACUUAACAGAUUAAGUGUUCCGCCUGGGGAGUACGGUCGCAAGAUUAAAACUCAAAGGAAUAGACGGGGACCCGCACAAGUGGUGGAGCAUGUGGUUUAAUUCGAAAAUACGCGAAGAACCUUACCUAGCCUUGACAUUGAUUGAACGGACCAGAGAUGGACCGGUGCCCUUCGGGGAGCAUGAAAACAGGUGCUGCACGGCUGUCGUCAGCUCGUGUCGUGAGAUGUUGGGUUAAGUCCCGCAACGAGCGCAACCCUCGUCCUUAGUUGCCAGCAGGUUAAGCUGGGCACUCUAAGGAGACUGCCUUCGUAAGGAGGAGGAAGGUGAGGACGACGUCAAGUCAUCAUGGCCCUUACGGCUAGGGCUACACACGUGCUACAAUGGGGCGUACAGAGUGUUGCGAUACCGCGAGGUGGAGCCAAUCACUUAAAGCGUCUCUCAGUUCGGAUUGGAGUCUGCAACUCGACUCCAUGAAGCUGGAAUCACUAGUAAUCGUAGAUCAGCAAUGCUACGGUGAAUACGUUCCCGGGUCUUGUACUCACCGCCCGUCACACCAUGGGAGUUGAUUUCACCCGAAAUUGGGAAGCUAACCUUCGGGAGGCUACCACUUACGGUGGAAUUAGCGACUGGGGUGAAGUCGGAACAAGGUAACC